Lemur catta (Ring-tailed lemur) is the source of this 3344-nucleotide long non-coding RNA. RefSeq lists it as uncharacterized. NCBI's taxonomy places the organism in Eukaryota, Metazoa, Chordata, Mammalia, Primates, Lemuridae. The record is from RefSeq and is a predicted model, not a curated record. The transcript is spliced from 3 exons.
UCUCCAAAUACAGUCACAUUCUGAGGUACUGAAGGCUUCAGCAUAUGAAUUAGGGGUGGGUGGGGCACAAUUCAGCCUCUAACAUGGACCACCAGAGCAAUGCCGGGAGAGGGGGCAUGUGCUCUAAGGGAGAUGUGAAUGGCUGCCGGAAGGUGGACUGGAACAGGCCAGACGGAAAUCUAAUGGGACGUGCAACAGAGGCUCUCCAAGAAGUGCAACACCCAGCCCUCCAGUCCGGAGCCUGUGCCUAAGUCAGACCAGGGUCCCUUCUCUAACACAGAUGUGAACAGCCAGAGGAAGGGAUGGGCUGCCUGGUUACUGGCGAAGCUGAGAUUCCAGCCCCGGGCCCUACUUCAUGGUGCAGAUGGAUCCCAAGGAAGCUGGAUCCCAAGGAAGCUGUAUAUACAGCUCAAACUCACCAAGCAAGGAUUGUGUAUGAAGCAGUUUAAUCGUACCUCUGCCUGUGGGCAGCGCCAGGUGGUAGUGAUGGUGGGAGGGAGGAUUAAUUGGUGCCUCUUCUCUGGUUCUAUAUUCAAUUUCCUUGGUCAGAGAAAUCGGAUUACUCAAGAGGUUGAGAAAGGGAACAUUGGUUAUAAAGUUCAAGGAGAUGAAUUAUACUUGGAUGUUCAGUCUUUUCAAUGCUAGGCAGCUGAUUACAUUCUGCCUGUUUGACAGUGAUGGAUGACUGAGGAAAUGAGAAUUUCAGCCCCAUUCCCAAAGGAUGGCUUUUCCUGUGUCUGAACAAACCCAAGAAUGAUUACCAAUUAACCUCUUUCUCUGGAGUCUCUGCCAAGAAAGAAUUGGGUUUCUAGAGCCCCAAAAGUCGUAAUAGGGAGACGCUGACGGUGAACGUCUAUGAGAGGAGAGCCCGGUUCUUGGGACUGUGGAUUUCCAGUUCGGAGAAGCUCAGAAAUACUGCACAGCAUAAGGGUAGGUUCUGGCCGCUAGUAGAAGAUGUUAUUUAAAUAUUUUAGAAAAGGGAGAUCAAAUAAAGGUGCCUAGUAACUAGACUGACAACUCUUUGAAGAGUCAAGGAGUUCCCCUGAUAAUUUGUAACUCACACAUUUAAUAGCAAAAAUCAGUUGAAACGUGCUAAGGACUUUCCCCUAGUGUACUGAGAAGAGAAUGGACCUGUCCCCCAGGAGACCUGGCCCCAGCUCCACCCUCUCGUGAUCUGUCUAUCCCAGGACGGAGCAGGCGCUCAGCGGACACGUGAGGCCUGAAUGGAUACACCAAGGGGACACAGUGAGCAGGUCUUUGCAAACUUAACCCCCAAAGGCUGAGUGAGCUGAGAGGCUGAAGAAAGAGACUGACAAAUCCAGUUUCUCUGAAAGAAACAUUUAAUAGGAACUUACGUUAAGAACAGAAGCCAUGUUUCAGGCAGCCGUGAAUUGGUGGAUUCCUGCACUGUUAUGUCCCAGACCCAGGGCUUAUAAACCUCAGGAAAUUUGCCCAAGGGCAGGAUUUAUGUUCUGCUUUCAGGAAAGAAGAAGGGAUUUGUUGGCCCAGCUUGGGCUAGAGUUUUAAGGAGGAGGAUGACUCUGGGGCCCGAUGUCAGGUGGCCACAAGAAGCCAAGUAGGAGAAAGGUAAGACCUGGGGGGAUUUUGACGGGGGCUUCUUGUCCAUGAGGACAGGGCCCUUCUGCACGUCUUCUUAGUUGAGACUGCGUGUGCAUGUGUGCACACAUGCAGGGUUUCUAUCGAUGUUUCUGGGGAAUACCAUUUCCUCAAACCCAAGUCCAGUCGGCAGAGAAUUGUAAGUUCCUUGGAGUUCCAGAUGCAGGAUGGUAACUCAAAAGAGUUGGUUUGUUCAAUGCUGUCCUUGUUUCAUUUCUGCAGGAGGCUUUCCCAGAGCUUGUGGAAGGAGAAGAAACAGGACCCAGGUUCCAGGCAGGCCUCCCCCUCCCAUGGGGUGAGGGUCCCACUGGAAGUAGGUAGAAGUCGCUCGGGUCUUCUCAACACCUUGUUUCUCGGUGCUGCAGAAGAUUCCUGAGCUGGAGAGUGGGAGGCCUGAGUUUUCAUGCCUGCUCUGUCCUGCUGCCUGCUAGACUUGGCAAAGGCCCUGCACCCUCUGCACUUCUGUGUCCUACCUCCUAAAUGGGACUGUAACCGCCCCCUACCUUCCAGGCCUGAGACUCCAAUAGAGCAAUGGAGGACCAGCAAAGGCACCAUGCAAGUCAAGGCUUUCUCAUUCAGCAUCCUAGGUGUCCUCUAUGAACAGAUUAAAAGGUCAGCUUUUUCUCCCCCCAUUGACAGUGCUGGAAUUGAAAAUAUUUGCUCCUGGAGGUGACACUGGUGUAUCUGAGCGUUCAAGGGUGGUCGGGACUCUCCCAUGUGACUUGGCUGUCUGCUGCAGUAACACUCAUGCAGACCCUACGUCCCCCUGUGCCUGUCCCCACCCAGAGUGUCUGUCAUUGGUUUUAACCCUUCAGAACCCAGUGCUUCAAGGUGACAUGCUGGGCUGGAGCUCUCCCUGCUCCCUGAUAUGUUGCCUGCUGAGUUUUUCUGGGAUGGACACUCACUCUUUCUUUCCAUCCAUCUUGCAAACGGAGAAGUCUUAAGCUGGGAAUUGAUUGUGAUGUGGUUUGAUGUGCAGCUCGUGUGUGUGACUAAUUCCAGAAGUGACAAGUUGUUUCCUUUCCUCUUUUCUUAAAACAACUAAUCUGGACAGAGAAGGAAAGAAGAACUCCAAGUCUGUGAGAGUUGAAAGAGUGGCUGCCCAGUCUUCAUCCUGGAGGAGCAGAGGGGACAAGUGAGGUGCUGCCGCCGUCUGCUGGGCUGCCUGAGCACCUUGGCCAUGCUCCGAUGUCCCCGGGGCCCAUCUAUGAAGACUUAUGGGGCAAGGGUGGGAGAGAGGGGCUCAGAACUGUCACGACCUUUGUAGCUUGUCACAGUCCUAACUGGAGGGUUGACUAAGCUGACACUACACAAUCCCACAUGUAAAAUGGGGCCACUAACACUGGAUGAUUUCUGAGGUCCUUUCAGUUUGACUUAGGUUAGUCAAACCAUUUGACUUUAAGAGGAGAACAAAAAAUCCAAAUUUUACUUAGUUAUUUUUGAACUACUUGGUUUUAUUUCCAUAAGAUAAACCUUGAAGAACUUCACAAAAAGUACAGUUUUCUUUAUUACCUGCUUGAUAAUGAUAAUUUAAAUCAGUCCUUGACAGUCAACACCGCAAUUAUUACAUACACACUGAGAAACCAUAUGGUAACUACUGUAUAGACAGUGUCUUGCCCUUUUCCUAUUUGCAAUAAAGUUGGGAGGAUUUGUAUACAUACAAAAAAGAACACAUGGAAAAUUUAUUAAAUGCCAAGUAAAAGGUAAAAAUAUUAAUAAAAUAUUAU